This is a long non-coding RNA of Balaenoptera ricei (Rice's whale), 1291 nucleotides long. RefSeq lists it as uncharacterized. Lineage: Eukaryota; Metazoa; Chordata; Mammalia; Artiodactyla; Balaenopteridae. The transcript has 2 exons. The record is from RefSeq and is a predicted model, not a curated record.
UCACCUGGAGGACAGUGGAGGAUGAGGAACCUGAUCAGAUAUCAAGAUAUCAAGAGUGAUCAGAUAUCAAGCGUGAUCAGAUAUUAAGCAGGGUGGCAGAGGUGGGGGGUUCCUGCUAAAACUGGAUUUUACAAGGAAGUAUACAGAUGGGCCUAGAAGAAGGUUCAGGAGUCUGACUAAAGCUUAGUCAAAUAAAAAAUCUUUAUCAGCAAUUUCUUUUUGCCAGGUAGUAAAAUACUCUGGUCUCUUUGACAUUAAGUUAAUGAAUCCCUGCAUAUAAACAUCUCUCUGAAAUCAGAGAUAUAUUACUUAAGAUAUUGGAGUAACUCCUACAAUUGUUUUGGAGAGCAAGCAACAGAGACAUCUAUGGUUUAAUGGAUGGGGAACUUACACGUCUGAAGCAAGGUCCUGGAGCGACACCCCAUCCUGUGCUGCCGAGGGCGGGCAUAAUAUGGCGGCAGUCUUGACCCUCCCGGGAGGAAGGGGAGGUUACCAGUUAGAGGCGAAUUGAUGUCAGGUGGGCUCAUUAGUUACCAGAGAAACCAGUAGAGGGACGGCCCCUCACCGCCCCUUUGAUGAGAACAAUCACCAGCUGGGGCCUGGGGCGAGUUCGUAGGAAGGUCGGUCACGUGAGCAGGGUGCAGGUGAAGCAGCCCCAUGUGUUAGUGGACGGCCAGCACGGGUUUACAACUUUCAGGCGCCACAUGCUGGUGGACGGCUCCCACAGCUUUCCGUUCCUCGUCCUGUAUUUCCCGACGUCUCGCGCUCACCGGAGUUUCCUCAGUCUCCUGGCUGGCUCCGCCAAUUGUUAGACUGACAAGGCCUGUGCUUUCCCAGCUUCAAGGCUGAGGAAGGAGCCCGAGUCAGCAACAGAGACAUCAAUGGUUUAAUGCAUGGGGGAGCUUACACGUCUGAAGCAAGGUUCUGGAGUGACACCCCACCACGUAUGGCAGACGGCAGGCAGGACAUGGUAGCAGUCUCUGCUCUUCACUAUGUCUUGGUAGUCUUUUUAGUUUCCUCCAGGCCCUAAUUUAUUUUACGUUAUUCUAGCAGAUGACACAUGAGUUAUGUAAGUGUUAUUUAUUAUUAUCUUAGUGAUAUUAGUAGGAUGUUAGAAAUCUAAGCUCCUACUAGCUAUUAUCAGUGGUAACUUCAUGUUAUGAUUUUAUAUACAGUAAUACACAACUUUCACAAUAGUCAUAUUGUAAUCUGCAAUAACAACUGGAUGCAUAUGUCCGAUACGAGGGGGAAAAUAAACUAUCAAGGGCGGAAUUUGCUGAAGUAGCAGGAA